RNAcentral lists this ribosomal RNA (226 nucleotides) under Listeria monocytogenes. RNAcentral's name for it is "partial 23S ribosomal RNA". It matches the Rfam family "Bacterial large subunit ribosomal RNA", at positions 145 to 364 of the family's 2925-position model. Lineage: Bacteria; Bacillati; Bacillota; Bacilli; Caryophanales; Listeriaceae. The record is from RNAcentral.
AUAGUAUCCUUACGUGAAUACAUAGCGUGAGGAAGGCAGACCCAGGGAACUGAAACAUCUAAGUACCUGGAGGAAGAGAAAGAAAAAUCGAUUUCCUGAGUAGCGGCGAGCGAAACGGAAAGAGCCCAAACCAAGAAGCUUGCUUCUUGGGGUUGUAGGACACUCUAUACGGAGUUACAAAAGAAAGUUAUAAAUGAAGCGGUCUGGAAAGGCCCGCCAAAGACGG